UUUUUCCCCACCCGGCCACCUCUCUCCCCCUGAUUCCUCUGUCUCUCUCGCACCACAGCGUUGUCGCCGCCAACUCCGAUCCCAGGAAGCUCCAGCGGACUCCAACCCACUGCUCACGGUUCUGCCCCACUCCAUCUAUGUUCUCCUCUGUUCCUUCGCCUGAGGCCACCGCGCCCCUGCACGCGUGGCACGCAACAACCCUAGCCGCCACGCGUCGCCGGCGUGGCUCCGGCAGCUCCGGUUUAUCGACCCACUACCCCUGCGGCCCUGCCUCACCUCACGCGCGGCAGCACGCUCGAGCUUGACGUUGGUAUUCCGCCUCUUCUACCUCAACUCCGGUGUUGACGUUUCUGGUUCUGGUGUUUACACGCUCGAGCUUGACGUUGGUAUUCCGCCUCUUCUACCUCAACUCCGGUGUUGACGUUUCUGGUUCUGGUGUUU
This 441-nucleotide long non-coding RNA is filed under the name Triticum aestivum (bread wheat). RNAcentral's name for it is "long non-coding RNA (TAES_LNC018344)". The record is from RNAcentral. Lineage: Eukaryota; Viridiplantae; Streptophyta; Magnoliopsida; Poales; Poaceae.